AUACGGAGGGUGCGAGCGUUGUUCGGAAUUAUUGGGCGUAAAGAGCAUGUAGGCGGUCUGUUAAGUCUGGUGUGAAAGCCCGGGGCUCAACCCCGGAAGUGCAUUGGAUACUGGCAGACUUGAGUAUGGGAGAGGAAAGCGGAAUUCCGAGUGUAGGAGUGAAAUCCGUAGAUAUUCGGAGGAACACCAGUGGCGAAGGCGGCUUUCUGGACCAAUACUGACGCUGAGAUGCGAAAGCGUGGGGAGCAAACAGGAGUAGAUACCCUAGUAGUCC
RNAcentral lists this ribosomal RNA (274 nucleotides) under uncultured bacterium. Its description in RNAcentral is "partial 16S ribosomal RNA". It matches the Rfam family "Bacterial small subunit ribosomal RNA", at positions 523 to 796 of the family's 1533-position model. The record is from RNAcentral.